This 69-nucleotide microRNA precursor is filed under the name Tursiops truncatus (common bottlenose dolphin). Its description in RNAcentral is "miRNA (ENSTTRG00000025067.1)". The record is from RNAcentral. Lineage: Eukaryota; Metazoa; Chordata; Mammalia; Artiodactyla; Delphinidae.
UUCAAGGUGGUGCAAGUGAGUGGUUGGCUAGACUACUGGUAAUAACACCCCCAUUUGCAUGACCCUGAG